This 235-nucleotide ribosomal RNA is filed under the name uncultured bacterium. Its description in RNAcentral is "partial 16S ribosomal RNA". It matches the Rfam family "Bacterial small subunit ribosomal RNA", at positions 118 to 351 of the family's 1533-position model. The record is from RNAcentral.
UGAGCGACCUACCUAAUUGUGGGGGAUAGCCGGCCCAACGGCCGGGUAAUACCGCAUACGAUCGGAGAGGGGCAUCCCUUUCUGAGGAAAGCCUUCGGGCGCAAUUUGAGGGGCUCGCGGCCUAUCAGCUAGUUGGCGGGGUAACGGUCCACCAAGGCGACGACGGGUAGCUGGUCUGAGAGGAUGGCCAGCCACAUUGGGACUGAGAUACGGCCCAGACUCCUACGGGAGGCAG